RNAcentral lists this unclassified non-coding RNA (208 nucleotides) under uncultured bacterium. RNAcentral describes it as "contains 16S-23S intergenic spacer region". The record is from RNAcentral.
AGGACUACUAGGGUUUCUAAUCCCAGUUUGGGUCUUAGUUAUUCUGUGUUCAGAUGCAUUAAAGCCACUUUCGUAGUUUAUUUUGUAUCAACUGGAGUUUUUUACAACUCACGUGAAUUUUAGCUUUAUUGAGGGGAAUUGAUCUAAAACACUCUUUAUGCCGGUUUCUAUUGACUUGGGUUAAUCGUGUUACCGCGGCUGCUGGCAC